Molecule: ribosomal RNA, 450 nt
Filed under: uncultured bacterium
Lineage: Bacteria
Description: partial 16S ribosomal RNA
Rfam family: Bacterial small subunit ribosomal RNA
Source: RNAcentral
GUGGGGAAUAUUGGACAAUGGGCGAAAGCCUGAUCCAGCCAUGCCGCGUGUGUGAAGAAGGUCUUCGGAUUGUAAAGCACUUUAAGUUGGGAGGAAGGGCAGUAAGUUAAUACCUUGCUGUUUUGACGUUACCGACAGAAUAAGCACCGGCUAACUUCGUGCCAGCAGCCGCGGUAAUACGAAGGGUGCAAGCGUUAAUCGGAAUUACUGGGCGUAAAGCGCGCGUAGGUGGUUCAGUAAGUUGGAUGUGAAAUCCCCGGGCUCAACCUGGGAACUGCAUCCAAAACUGCUGAGCUAGAGUACGGUAGAGGGUGGUGGAAUUUCCUGUGUAGCGGUGAAAUGCGUAGAUAUAGGAAGGAACACCAGUGGCGAAGGCGACCACCUGGACUGAUACUGACACUGAGGUGCGAAAGCGUGGGGAGCAAACAGGAUUAGAUACCCGGGUAGUCC